This 433-nucleotide ribosomal RNA is filed under the name uncultured bacterium. Its description in RNAcentral is "partial 16S ribosomal RNA". It matches the Rfam family "Bacterial small subunit ribosomal RNA", at positions 29 to 507 of the family's 1533-position model. The record is from RNAcentral.
AACGAACGCUGGCGGCAUGCCUAACACAUGCAAGUCGAACGAGACCUUCGGGUCUAGUGGCGCACGGCUGCGUAACGCGUGGGAACCUUCCCUUAGGUUCGGAAUAACUCUCCGAAAGGGGUGCCAAUACCGGAUAAUGUCUUCGGACCAAAGAUUUAUCGCCUUUGGAUGGGCCCGCGUUGGAUUAGCUAGUUGGUAGGGUAAAAGCCUCCCAAGGCGACGAUCCAUAGCUGGUCUGAGAGGAUGAUCAGCCACACUGGGACUGAGACACGGCCCAGACUCCUACGCGAGGCAGCAGUGGGGAAUAUUGGACAAUGGGCGAAGGGCUGAACCAGCACUGCCGCGUAAGUGAUGAAGGCCUUAGGGUUGUAAAGCUCUUUUAACCGGGAUGAUAAUGACAGUACCGAGAGAAUAAGCUCCGGCUAACUCCGUG